Molecule: ribosomal RNA, 361 nt
Filed under: uncultured Marinobacter sp.
Lineage: Bacteria; Pseudomonadati; Pseudomonadota; Gammaproteobacteria; Pseudomonadales; Marinobacteraceae
Description: bacterial SSU rRNA
Rfam family: Bacterial small subunit ribosomal RNA
Source: RNAcentral
GGGAACCCAAGCACAGGUGCUGCAUGGCCGUCGUCAGCUCGUGUCGUGAGAUGUUGGGUUAAGUCCCGUAACGAGCGCAACCCUUAUCCCUAGUUGCCAGCACAUUAUGGUGGGAACUCUAGGGAGACUGCCGGUGACAAACCGGAGGAAGGUGGGGAUGACGUCAGGUCAUCAUGGCCCUUACGGCCAGGGCUACACACGUGCUACAAUGGCGCGCACAGAGGGCUGCAAACCCGCGAGGGGGAGCUAAUCUCACAAAACGCGUCGUAGUCCGGAUCGCAGUCUGCAACUCGACUGCGUGAAGUCGGAAUCGCUAGUAAUCGUGAAUCAGAAUGUCACGGUGAAUACGUUCCCGGGCCUU